AAUAAGAGGUCACGCCUGCCCAGUGACUAUAUGUUCAACGGCCGCGGUAUACUGACCGUGCAAAGGUAGCGCAAUCACUUGUCUUUUAAAUGGGGACCUGUAUGAAUGGCAUCACGAGGGCUUAACUGUCUCCUUUCUCCAGUCAGUGAAAUUGAUCUCCCCGUGCAGAAGCGGGGAUAAAAACAUAAGACGAGAAGACCCUAUGGAGCUUUAGACACAAAGUCAGAUUACGUCAAUCACCUUUGCAUAAAAAGAUAAAACUAAGUAACACCUGUUCUUAUGUCUUCGGUUGGGGCGACCUCGGGGAGACAACAAACCCCCAAGCGGAACAGAGGCACAGCCUCCCAAGCCAAGAGCUCCUGCUCUAAGAAAUAGAAAUUCUAACCUUCAAGAUCCGGCAACGCCGAUCAACGAACCGAGUUACCCUAGGGAUAACAGCGCAAUCUCCUUAUAGAGCCCGUAUCGACAAGGGGGUUUACGACCUCGAUGUUGGAUCAGGACAUCCUAAUGGUGCA
Molecule: ribosomal RNA, 515 nt
Filed under: Cymolutes praetextatus
Lineage: Eukaryota; Metazoa; Chordata; Actinopteri; Labriformes; Labridae
Description: partial 16S ribosomal RNA
Rfam family: Bacterial large subunit ribosomal RNA
Source: RNAcentral